Molecule: long non-coding RNA, 1415 nt
Organism: Trifolium pratense (red clover)
Lineage: Eukaryota; Viridiplantae; Streptophyta; Magnoliopsida; Fabales; Fabaceae
Exons: 2
Source: RefSeq, a predicted model, not a curated record
UUUCCCACUCUCCCACUUUCCCACUCUCCUCAUUCAACCCACUUUCUCACUUUUCUCUCAUUCAACCGGUUGAAUUUUUUUCAACCCCUCUCUCCUCCAACUAAUUCAACCCCAAAAUUAAACCCACCAUUGCAACAUUUCAACUCAUCUUUUGGGGUUUAAACCUAACCAUUGUAACUAGUCUAAGAAAUUAAGUUACUAGUCUGCUUAUUUGUGAUGUCAUGUGAUCUUUUAUUGGUAGAAACAAUCAAUGUAUGUAUAUGAAAUGAAAUUAAACUAUAAAAUAGUAUCCUUAAGUCCUAGCUACAUCCAUAAAAACAUAAGCCAACCAAGUUCCUUCAGAUUCCCACAAUACAAUCUCAGUAGUCUUGGUAUGAUGAAUGGUAGUUGCAUGCAAAUGAGCAUCCAACUCAUGGCAUAGAGAUGUUUGCUGCUGGUGUCAUAUUAUCAAAUCAUUUAUGCCAAAGUUGCAAAUGCAAGGGGGAUGAGUCUUCUGCCUCCCACUUCCUGUAGUUCAACACCAAUUCCAUUCGCCCUUGGAAAUCGGAAACAACUAGGUUGAUCAUUAAUUGCAACCGCAGUUGCAACCAUGUGGAUAAUCUCUGCUUCGUCGGAAGGAGCCAUCACCACCAUGUUAGGUAGACAUGCCAUAUAGGUGACAUCAAAAGAACCACAAUGUGUUGGACCAUCUUCUCCAACAAAUCCAGCUUUGUCAAUCACAAAUCUUACAGGCAGCUUCUGUAGAUCCACAUCAUGCACCACCUUCGAAUGGACACGAAAUAUAUACUUAGAGCAUUAUUUACAAAAGUCGAUGUUAUACAAUAUUCUAUAUGGAUUUCGGUGAUUAAGGCAUUAGUACUGGUGUGAUUGCACGUGAAAAGUAAUUAUAUGCUGCAUUGCCUUAUUAUACGGAGUAUUAACUAAAUUAUACUACCUGGUCAUAAGCUCUCUGCAAGAAGGAUGAGUAAAUUGUGCAAAAAGGCUUAAGACCUUCACAAGCUAAACCUGCAGCAAAUGUAACAGCAUGUUGUUCUGCUAUCCCUACAUCGAAACAUCUUGUAGGGAAACGGCGAAGGAAGUGAUUCAUGCCGGUUCCACCUCCCAUUGCAGCAUGGAUUCCAACAAUGUUUUUGUCUACUUCAGCUUCAGCGAUCAAAGCAUCAGCAAAGCAUGUUGUGAGUAACGGCGUUGGAGCCUUGGUCUUGAACUGUUUUCCAGUAGCAUAAUCAAACUUGGCAACUCCUGCAAAACUAAACAAUGUUAGAUAUCUUUCAUGAAUAUAGCAAGUCAAAGAUUAAUUUGUAAUGUUAAUGCUUAUUUUACCAUGGUACUUGUCUGCUGCUUUUUCUGCAUAUGGAUAUCCUAGGCCUUUUUCAGUGACAACAUGGAUUAAUACAGGACCAGUUUUCUUAGGA